This 346-nucleotide ribosomal RNA is filed under the name Cynorta albicurvata. RNAcentral describes it as "partial large subunit ribosomal RNA". The stretch from base 74 to 346 matches the Rfam family "Bacterial large subunit ribosomal RNA", at positions 2048 to 2608 of the family's 2925-position model. The record is from RNAcentral. Lineage: Eukaryota; Metazoa; Arthropoda; Arachnida; Opiliones; Cosmetidae.
UUUUUUAAUUGGGGACUGGAAUGAAAGGUUGAUACUGAAAGGAAGGUUUUUUAAGAUGAAUUUGAAUUUAAUUUAGAAGUAAAAAAGCUUUUAUUAUUCCCUGGGACGAGAAGACCCUAAAAGUUUUAAAUAAAUAGUAUUUUUGAUUGGGGCAAUUGUUGAAGAUAAGAAUUUUUAAUUAAAUAAUAUAAGGUAAAGAAAUUACUUUAGGGAUAACAGCGUUAUUUAAUUAAUGAGUUCUUAUUAAGAAUUAAGUUUGCGACCUCGAUGUUGAAUUAAAUUUAAUUUAUGGUGAAGGGGCUAUAAGUUUUAGUCUGUUCGACUAUUGAAAAUUUACGUGAUCUGA